RNAcentral lists this transfer RNA (73 nucleotides) under Canis lupus familiaris (dog). It matches the Rfam family "tRNA". From Rfam's summary of the family: Transfer RNA (tRNA) molecules are approximately 80 nucleotides in length. Their secondary structure includes four short double-helical elements and three loops (D, anti-codon, and T loops). The record is from Rfam by way of RNAcentral. RNAcentral also lists the same sequence under 2 other names. Lineage: Eukaryota; Metazoa; Chordata; Mammalia; Carnivora; Canidae.
GCCUGGCUGGUUCAGUUGGAAGAGCAUGUGACUCUAGAUCUUGGGGUUGUGAGUUCAAGCCCCAUGUUGGGUA